This 429-nucleotide ribosomal RNA is filed under the name uncultured bacterium. Its description in RNAcentral is "bacterial SSU rRNA". It matches the Rfam family "Bacterial small subunit ribosomal RNA", at positions 422 to 868 of the family's 1533-position model. The record is from RNAcentral.
AUUGUAAAGCACUUUCGACGGGGACGAUGAUGACGGUACCCGUAGAAGAAGCCCCGGCUAACUUCGUGCCAGCAGCCGCGGUAAUACGAAGGGGGCUAGCGUUGCUCGGAAUGACUGGGCGUAAAGGGCGCGUAGGCGGCGGCGUAAGUCAGAUGUGAAAUUCCUGGGCUUAACCUGGGGGCUGCAUUUGAGACUGCGUUGCUAGAGGAUGGAAGAGGCUCGUGGAAUUCCCAGUGUAGAGGUGAAAUUCGUAGAUAUUGGGAAGAACACCGGUGGCGAAGGCGGCGAGCUGGUCCAUUACUGACGCUGAGGCGCGAUAGCGUGGGGAGCAAACAGGAUUAGAUACCCUGGUAGUCCACGCCGUAAACGAUGUGUGCUGGAUGUUGGGGUUCAUAGAACUUCAGUGUCGUAGCUAACGCGAUAAGCACA